CUAUUUUUUGAUGGAAUGUUUUCAGUGUUCUGGAAAUUGUUUUCAUCAUGGUUUUUAUUAGUGUUUGCUUUUUUGGGCGGCGAAACGGAACGUCUCGCGACAUCUCUAUGAAUCGCGGCUGUCAGUUGAGCUGUCAAAUCACUUUGGAAUUUUGGUCGAUCUUGCGCGGCCGCAGUUUUAUUAUUUUCGGGGAUGAAAUCCCCCAUGUUUCAAAUCGUGUGAUGCGGAAUGCAUCCACGAUAAUUUAUUAAUAUAAUUUAAAAAUAUUCACACAUGAGAGAUUCCCUAAAUCCUGUUCGGAUGAGGGUGGGUUGCUGAAGACGGCGAGUGAAUUUCAAAUUAGCGAGCAGUUCUUCGUAAGUAUUUGUUUCCCAUUGCGGGUUUUUCAUAACCUAAUGCCACGUUCCACAUGUGAUUCUGACACUCGUAUUUUUCGUUUCAGAUGCGGGAUUUCAUAAUUUUACAAAUUUUAUAGUUCAAAUAUUUCAAAUUUCAUAUUUUACAUUUUGAUAUUUCAUAUAUUUUAAUUUCUCUUCAUUUCGUAUGAAAUAUUUGUCCUUUCUAAACUGCUGAUCUCUUCGUAUUUCCUCCUUGUCAUCAAACCUCUGUCUCUGCAAGAGUUUGAACGCUUACCUGUCGAAGAGAUGCAAGAGCUUCAUCUGGUACUGCGCGCUUGAGGCCGUGGAGGACGCUGCUUGGAGCCUAAAAGUGUGCGAGACCCGUUGGACCCCGGAAGAAGAGAGGAACGUUCAGGGUAACGGCUUAUAACCGCAUGGCUUCCAAGGUACCCACUUUUCCAUCCUUCAAGUAGGAGUCUUUCCGACCUGACAUCGUGCAGUUAUCUUAACUAUUAGAGUCUUUUAAUAUUUAGGCUGAGUUUUAAGAAAUUUGUAGUGGCAGUAAUAUUCACCAAACCGAACCUAACUAACGACCCUGAAUCCCUUGAGAUUGGCACUAUUACAGUAGUUAUUAUAAUAUCGUAAUUGUUAACUAUAUAUGAGCAUACGAGAUAAAAAUAAAUUGUGUCAAUUGAGAGGGAGCUGUUUUAUUUACAUUUUCUAAUUUCACACAAGGAACGGUAACUUAUAUAAAUUUCUGCAAGCCGGACAACCUCUUUUUCACGUGCAGACAAUUCACCAUCGUCUCCGUCUGCACCGGUGGCGGUUCAAUUCCAGUCACCAAGCCGCCAGGAAAAAAUCCUUUUCUUGCAGUGGCGCCCAUCUUUUGGUGUUUAUUAUUGCCAUCUUUUUUUUAUGAAGUUUAUGGGUGGAAAGCCAAUAAUAGAAGCAACAUUGUGUGCUGACUAUCCGCUCAUACACUUCUAUUUUGUUGUUAAAUAUUUUUUAUUAGGGAAUCUCUCAUGUGUGUACUGUUGUUUGUCUUGUUAUUUUUUGUAAUUUAUUUUAUUUGUGAUGCCCACAUAAUUUUUUUCAAGUUGUCAACCUAUUACAUAUUAUUAUGUUAACCAUUAUAACAGAGCGUACUACUCUAUAUGAGGUUAGUUUACAUGAUGUUAGGUUACAUAUUUUUUGUGUUGCAACUCUUAUUUUGACGUUGGAGACCUCUGGUUUUAUGGGGGUUAGCGUAAUCAGGGCACAGUGCUUCGUGACAAACAUUAGGCAAGUACUGAGGAAGCGCCGCAACUAACUCAGCCACUAUUAUAUUUAACGAAAUUAUCGUCUUAUCAAGACACAUCACUGACUGACCAUACGCACAUUAAGUCUUAUUUACAUACCUUUAGUAAUUUUACUAAUGCAAAAGUAACCUUUAACCUUUCACGCCAAAACCAAUGAGGUAAUUAUAUUUUUCUUUUGGUUUUGCACAUGUAAAUAGGACCGAGAAUAACAUAGACUACCUUCGGUUAUUCAACCAAAUUAAAAUAAAUAAAAUCUA
Molecule: long non-coding RNA, 1893 nt
Organism: Ostrinia nubilalis (European corn borer)
Lineage: Eukaryota; Metazoa; Arthropoda; Insecta; Lepidoptera; Crambidae
Exons: 2
Source: RefSeq, a predicted model, not a curated record